This 403-nucleotide ribosomal RNA is filed under the name Verrucomicrobiota bacterium. RNAcentral describes it as "Verrucomicrobia bacterium partial 16S ribosomal RNA". It matches the Rfam family "Bacterial small subunit ribosomal RNA", at positions 355 to 776 of the family's 1533-position model. The record is from RNAcentral. Lineage: Bacteria; Pseudomonadati; Verrucomicrobiota.
UGGGGAAUAUUGCACAAUGGGCGCAAGCCUGAUGCAGCAACGCCGCGUGAACGAUGAAGGUCUUCGGAUCGUAAAGUUCUGUUGCAGGGGAAGAUAAUGACGGUACCCUGUGAGGAAGCCCCGGCUAACUACGUGCCAGCAGCCGCGGUAAUACGUAGGGGGCUAGCGUUAUCCGGAUUUACUGGGCGUAAAGGGUGCGUAGGUGGUCCUUCAAGUCGGUUGUUAAAGGCUACGGCUCAACCGUAGUAAGCCGCCGAAACUGGAGGACUUGAGUGCAGGAGAGGAAAGUGGAAUUCCCAGUGUAGCGGUGAAAUGCGUAGAUAUUGGGAGGAACACCAGUAGCGAAGGCGGCUUUCUGGACUGCAACUGACACUGAGGCACGAAAGCGUGGGUAGCAAACAGG